Molecule: long non-coding RNA, 1110 nt
Filed under: Equus caballus (horse)
Lineage: Eukaryota; Metazoa; Chordata; Mammalia; Perissodactyla; Equidae
Description: lncRNA (ENSECAG00000046264.1)
Source: RNAcentral
CAUGGCCACUUACACUGACCUGAACCACCUGGUGUCAGCCACUGUGAGUAGGGUCACCACCUGCCUACGCAACCCCAGCCAGCUCACUGCUGACCUGUGCAAGCUGGUUGUCAACGUGGUCCCCUCCUCUGCCUGCAGUUCUUCAGGCCCAGCUCCGCCCCACUGACCAGGCAGGGCCAGCCAGCAGUACCGGGCCUUGAGGGUGCCAGAGCUCCCCACGCAGGUGUUAGAGGCCAAGAACAUGAUGGUCGCCUAUGACCCCUGCUACAGCCGCUAUCUGACCAUGGUCAUCACCCUCAGGGCUGCAUAUCCAUAUGGUGGGAGCUUACCACUGAGGGCUAGAAGACUGCUUGGGAGGGCAGCCACCAGACCAAGGUGUUAUCGAAGGGCCCCCCCCAGAAGGAGUGGCCACAGUGAGCUCAUGUGGGCUUCAGCCAGGUCCUGUCCGACAAGGGGACCCACGUGGAGAUGAGCGUGGCCGCAGGCCCCGGUCCUCUGUGUUCUUGCUGGCAUGGAGGAUGAGGGGCGGCAGGGCCUACAGCUGGUCCAGAGAGGGCAGGCUGAAACGCUGGGCAGAAGGAGAGGAGCGAGCUCAGGAAGGGGAAGCUGCUGAUCGACGUGACCCUGCAGACCUGUGGGAUGAUUCAGGGACGACACCCUGGACACCGCGCCCCUGCCCGGUUCCACCAGAUCUAGCCUCCCCCUGGGCCCACUCCCGGGCCGCGCGCGGAAGCUCUUCCCCAAGCUCAGCAUCACCUGGGGCGCUUCAGGCUGGCCUACGGCCCCGAUGCGGAGCUCAGCGCCAAGGAGUUCAGCUACCACCGAGGUCUGAAAAAGCGGGCGGAAGUGGGGAAGUCCGGGCUCUUCUGCCCCAAAAUGCUGCUGUGGUGGGGCUCUCCAAGAACCUGUCGGUCAUUGCCCAGGGCCUGUCCCUGGAGCCCCCGAUGAUGAUCAGAUAUGGCAUCAACAAUGUCCUGGAGCUGGUGGGCCGCCAGGUGAAUCUGCAGAUGGUGUACAGCACUGCCUGUGCUGCCCUAACGUGGAACUGGGCUUCAGGUAUAGAUGGAAUUUGUGAGAUAUAGAUGGUAUAUAUAUAUAAAGAGAGAGAAA